GAGAAUGCAAAGAGAAAGAGUAGUAGUUAUGACAGGAUGAUACAGAGAGCCUGUGGUUGGUGCAAACAGGUCAUCCUCCAUACCGAAUGGACUUUCUCGCAGAUACCGGGGAACUGUUUACAAAGUAUCCGGAUCCGGUUUUCGACCGUUAUCCCGAUCGCUUAGAGAGACUGACUGCAAUUUUUCUGCAGUUCGUAAUCAGGGUGGUACCACGGUCCAUUCGUCCCUGCA
This 231-nucleotide non-coding RNA is filed under the name Salisediminibacterium selenitireducens. Its description in RNAcentral is "Bacillus selenitireducens T-box sequence". It matches the Rfam family "T-box leader". From Rfam's summary of the family: Uncharged tRNA acts as the effector for transcription antitermination of genes in the T-box leader family. T-boxes are found upstream of many aminoacyl-tRNA synthetase genes and some amino acid biosynthetic genes usually in Gram-positive bacteria. The anticodon of a specific tRNA base pairs to a specifier sequence within the T-box motif, and the NCCA acceptor tail of the tRNA base pairs to a conserved bulge in the T-box antiterminator hairpin. Lineage: Bacteria; Bacillati; Bacillota; Bacilli; Caryophanales; Bacillaceae. The record is from RNAcentral.